GCCAUCUGGUCCUCGGAGCGGGGCGUCUCUGGGAGUGAGUGCAGGGCGGAAGCCAAGGGCCCAGCUGCGGAGGCCCCUCGGCCACGCUGUCCCUUCCUGUCCAGUGCCCAGGGGAGAGGGGGGACACUGUGCCUUUAAGCCCUGGGUGUCCCUCUGUCCCCGACGGCCACCGCUGAAAGUCAGGCACCGUCUGUGGCCCAUACGGAGCACACAGAAGGCAGUGUCCACGGUGAGGGUCUCCGCUCGGGUAAUCAUUGAAUGCACAAGGAGAUUGCAGACUCUAGUAACCUCAUGACACAGAAAUACAUAUAUAAAAUGUGCA
This is a long non-coding RNA of Marmota monax (woodchuck), 322 nucleotides long. RefSeq lists it as uncharacterized. The transcript is spliced from 2 exons. The record is from RefSeq and is a predicted model, not a curated record. NCBI's taxonomy places the organism in Eukaryota, Metazoa, Chordata, Mammalia, Rodentia, Sciuridae.